This 97-nucleotide transfer RNA is filed under the name Lasiosphaeris hirsuta. It matches the Rfam family "tRNA". From Rfam's summary of the family: Transfer RNA (tRNA) molecules are approximately 80 nucleotides in length. Their secondary structure includes four short double-helical elements and three loops (D, anti-codon, and T loops). Lineage: Eukaryota; Fungi; Ascomycota; Sordariomycetes; Sordariales; Lasiosphaeriaceae. The record is from Rfam by way of RNAcentral.
GGGAUGUUGGCUCGGUUGGUAGAGCGUUGGUCUCAUAACAUGAUGUGGUUAAACAUCAGAGACAUCUAAAGGUCGUGAGUUCGAGCCUCACGUCCCA